This 300-nucleotide ribosomal RNA is filed under the name uncultured Spiroplasma sp. RNAcentral's name for it is "bacterial SSU rRNA". It matches the Rfam family "Bacterial small subunit ribosomal RNA", at positions 496 to 795 of the family's 1533-position model. Lineage: Bacteria; Bacillati; Mycoplasmatota; Mollicutes; Entomoplasmatales; Spiroplasmataceae. The record is from RNAcentral.
GCGAAGUUCGGGCCAGUAGACGGGUGAAUAGUAAGGGUGCAAGCGUUGCUCGGAAGUACUGGGCGUAAGGCGUGCGUAGGGGAUGGUUUAAGUCGGCUGGGCAAGCCCUGGGCUCAACCUGGGAAUUGCAGUGGAUACUGGGUGACUAGAGUGUGGUAGAGGGAUGCGGAAUUUCUGGUGUAGCAGUGAAAUGCGUAGAGAUCAGAAGGAACAUCCGUGGCGAAGGCGGCAUCCUGGGCCAACACUGAAACUGAGGCACGAAAGCGUGGGGAGCAAACAGGAUUAGAUACCCUUGUAGUC